UUCGACUACAACCACUCCAACAACUACAACUGCUACAACUACCACCACCACCACCACGCCAACAACUACUACUACAAACUCUCCAAGUCCUGUAACAACUGCAGGGUCGACAACUCCUUCCGUCUGUCGGAAUGGCACACUGGCUAUUCCAUUGUUAUUCCAAUGCUUCAAUUUUCAAGAUUUCACGAGCUUGACGACAGAUGACGAUAAAUGCACGUACCUGGGCACUGUAGGUAAUUGUCUUGAGGGAAAGCUAGAGACAACCUACAACGUCACAUGUUCCUAUAGUGACCAACUCGUCAUCAUUGGUUCUUUUGCAUCCAUAGUUACGUCAGCGCUCAAUUUUGACUUAAUCACAGUAUGUAACUUUCAGAAGCGCUGAUGAAACAGUGAUCACGUGAUUACAUGAUGACGUGUUGAGUCACGUGUCAGAGACCAUAGACGUUACAUGCUUCUGAUCUGACCCCCGAUUGUAAUGAAGCAUUCACUUCCGGUACAUGUUGAUGAUGCGUGAAGCCACAUCCUGUUUCAGUGCAAUGGAUUUUCAUAAACUACAGUCCCUCGCUAUGUGUGACUUUCUGUUGUAAUUUGUCAUCAAUGUUCAACCCUCAAUGAUGAAAUUGGUCGGUGAUUAUAUGAGCCACAAGCUUAUGGAUGGAAAGCAAAAUUACAGUACAAUACAACGUACCGACAAGAUUCCACCGCCAUGCUGGAGAAGUUUCAUAGAUUUUUUUUGUGACGUUGGAUAUCUACCAUUGGGAAUGAACAACUAUAAAACUUCAUUAUGUAGGUAGUUGUAGUGUUGGUGUAAGAAACACUUAAUUCAAUCGGCUGUUACCGUAAAAAAAAAUUGGAAGACGAGGCUCCUUCUAACUGCUCGCAAUAUACCUUUUCUUACUCUUAGAUUUUCUCCUGGAAAAAUAUCAGGCUCGUAGGUACGUUUUGGACUGGUUCAGGACAGCGAAAAAUUACCAAUUGCAAGGCUGAUAGUCGGUUGUGUAUGUGCUUUGAAGAUUAUCAAAGAACUACUCAAAGAUUAGAGCUGGACAAUGUUACCAUUAUGAUGAUUUACCAUUCACCUUUAUCUGUAAUCAAAGCAUUACUCUGAGAUGUAGCAGGUAUGCAAGAUUCAGAUACUCUAGGCAAACUCGUAAUAUCCCCACAAGAUGGUGCAUACAGGGACCUCUAAUUUUUUCAUAAUAAACGUCUAAGUGUGUAUCUCGUGAAAUCUAUGUUAUAUUAAGUAUCAUUCAACAUUCUGAUGGUCUGUGACACAUGUGGAAGUUAUACCAGUAGGUCUGCAAUAUCAAAGCAAGUUAUUGCAUUUAAGUGACUACCUCAAAAGUAACUGGAUCACGUGAAAUACAGGUUAUAUGUCGUGUCUACCUCCAAAAGGAUACACUAUGAAAUCAAUAGUUUUCGUGGGUUUUUUUAAUUUCGUUGUUAUCGUUGGUAAUCUUCAUCCGCGAAUUCAAAGGUCCACGAAGAAAAUACAAGUUUGAUAUUAGCAAUUCUCCGUUUGAGCGAGAACUCGUAACCCACGAAUUCAUGUACUCUCGAAAUUGUGUUUUGUCUGGAAACAACAAAACAUAUUCCCCCACGAAAAUAUCUGAUUUCAUAGUAGAUUGCGUGAAAUAUCGGGUAUAUGUAGUAAGUCAUUACAAGUCAUGUACGUCAACAAUAUUUUGAUCAAGUGUAAUAUAUGUGAAAUGUAGUAAGUGUACUAACUCAAAUAAUAAUUCAGGCAUUUAUACUGGAGUACAUUGUACUAUGGAACUGUAACUGGUACACUUAGUUUAUGCAUGAAUGAAAUUAUUGGAUCUAAGAUUAACGAUGUAUUGAUAUUUUCAUAAGUUAAUAAAAUAUUGUUUCGGAAAUGAAGUGUAUGUAGUAUGUUAA
Molecule: long non-coding RNA, 1899 nt
Organism: Mizuhopecten yessoensis (Yesso scallop)
Lineage: Eukaryota; Metazoa; Mollusca; Bivalvia; Pectinida; Pectinidae
Exons: 4
Source: RefSeq, a predicted model, not a curated record